UAAGAACAAUCAGAAUCCCACACGGCUAU
RNAcentral lists this non-coding RNA (29 nucleotides) under Bombyx mori (domestic silkworm). The record is from RNAcentral. Lineage: Eukaryota; Metazoa; Arthropoda; Insecta; Lepidoptera; Bombycidae.